Molecule: long non-coding RNA, 6212 nt
Filed under: Salvia miltiorrhiza (redroot sage)
Lineage: Eukaryota; Viridiplantae; Streptophyta; Magnoliopsida; Lamiales; Lamiaceae
Description: long non-coding RNA (SMIL_LNC007732)
Source: RNAcentral
AGCUUUUUCGCCCAAUUAAAACCUAGUUUUUUCUCACUAUUCCAACCGCGACUGGUCUUCCAUUUCUCCCACCGCCGUCCUCUCACCGGUGUCGCCACCGUCCUUGCUCGGACGCUCACCGUCGCAGCCGCCGUCGAUUGGUAAGUUCUCUUCGAUUUGAGGGGGUUCUCUUCUGGUUAUGGGAUGUUAAUAACUAAGCUUUGUUAUUUGAUACUCCCUCCGUCCGCCAAAAUUAUGUAAAAUUGCUUGGGCACGGGAUUUAAUAAAAUUGGUGAUGAUUUUGAUGUAGUGGAGAAAGGGUCCCACCACUUUAUGAGAUGUGUGGUUGAGAUUGAAUUUUGAGUGAGUUUUUUGUAAAUAAAGAGUGUUAGUAAGGAUAAAAUAUUAAAGAGGAUGGUGAGACCAUUGCUAUAAAAGGAAAGUGACAUAAUAUUGGCGGACGCCAAAUAUAGUAAUUUUUACAUAAUCUUGGCGGACGGAGGGAGUAUUAUACUCCCAAUUUAGGGAUUGCACUGCCCUCGCCCAGCCCUACCCCGUCUCGCGACUCCAUAGCUGCAACAAUUGGUAAGCUUCGUUAUCAAUGCAGCAAACUUUUGAUACCUUAAUCUGUUUGAUUGAUUUCUUCUAAAAUGAGCUUUUCUUAUUUGAAAGUUUUUAAAGAGUAAACACACUAUUAUCUCCAAUUUUUUGAUACCUAAAUUGUCGGUCAUUUUUUUUUUAACUUUCGGGGUUGAAUUUAUUAUCUCCAAUUUUAAUGCUUCAGUAUUUCAGUUUUGAUCGGUUUCAGCAAGUAUUGGGUUCUAAAAGGAUUAAAUCAAACCAAUCAUCAUUUCUAUGUAGUUUUUGGUACUUAUUUAGUCGGCUAUUUGAUUUAAAUCUGAAAGUAUAUAAAGUUGUGGAAUCAUCUCCUCAUUUGGUUGAAUGCAUUCUAGAAAAGUCUGCUUCUAGCACUAAUUAAACUCACUCGAGCUCUCACCAUAGCAGACCAUUCCACUGGUGUUGAAUUCUCAUGCAGCCAUUGUUGUCACUGCAUUUAAUUCUGAAGUAGUUUCUUUUUCAUUCAUGUUUGAGCAAGAGAUUAUUCCAGUAAUGCUUCUUGGAGAGUGUAUGUUUUGUGCUAAGGAGAGUAUCUUUGCUGGAGUUAUAGACUUUCCCAAAAAACUACGUGUUCAGUUUACUUCAUUGAAAGCUUUGUUUAUAGCAGGGUGGUUUUGUCAUUUCAUAUAUUCCCCAUCAUCAAUUCUGAAUGCUUGUUUGAUAUAUGUAUACCACCUAUUCCAAGUGUUAGGCUAUUAGUAUCUUUUAUUUCGAGAAUCCAGCAACCCAUUUUUGUAUAAUUUCAUCUUAUUGUGUUUCACUAUAAGAAAUAGAGUAGUCUCUGAAAAUGCAAAAGCAACUUAUUGAUUCUGUGUUUGAGAUGAUUCCAUUUGUCUUAUGAAGGUGGGGAGAACAUUUUCUUACCCUAAAUUCCUUGGCUCAUUUAUGAAGCUGCUCUACUACCCCUUCUGUUCAGAAUCUAAGGAAUUAUUGAUGAUUAAGAAAUAGUUUUCUGGGUUCUUUGGGAUUAUAUAGUUCAUUAGUUUGUGGUCUGACCAGAAAUUCGGAAUGGAAAUUCUUUUAAUGAAAGUUCAUGCUGUGGUUCAAAAGGUUCCAUAAUUAUAGGAGUAUUAAACAAGGCUGAUUGCAUAUCUUUUUGAAAUAAAAUGAUUUGUGUUCGUGGAUUGGAUGGUAUCUUUAACUGUAUUCGAGGAUGCAUCUAAAGCUUGGCUUGCAAUAUAAAAUCUUUUUUCUAAACAAAAUAAACAGUUUUACAUGCUUUUGAUUUAUAUGCUUUUGUGAACUACAGAUAACCAAGACUUGUACGUCUUACAAAAAAACAAAUCUUUAAACUGUUGCAAUUUAUAAAAUAGAAAGUUAAUUAUGGAUUUUGCUGAAACCUGCGAACUUUUUGGAGUUUUCUAAAACAGAUUAAACCCCAAAGGAUUUUUAUUUUUAGUGUACUCUGCAUAUCAUUGAUGCUAUGAGAUUCGUCAUGUUUGUUGUAUAUGCAGAUAGGCGAUUACUUGGAUGUGGCAAUCACCCUGACUCAGUGAUCCUUGCUGCUGUUGUGUUGCUGAACUUUAUUGUGAGCAUAACCGACCACAUUUCUGUUUUGGUAGAAUCAUAUUUAGCUCAUGUUUGUAAUAUGACCCUUGAGAGGAGCUCCACGAAUGAUGUGAAUUCUACUUGGAAAUUGAUGAAUAGCUUUGUAUGAAUAUAUGUGUCCCCCACCUUGAUUAGCCUAUUUAACUAAUCAUCGAUGCUUAGAUGCUUAGACUGAGAUUAUGCAUGCUUUCUGCUGAUUCUGGAAUCUGCAAAUUGUACUGCUGAUUCAUUUAUUGAGAACAAGAAGAACUGCAAGUACUGUGAUAGUAGUCCAAAGUAUUACUCUGUUAUGUUUUUUUGUCACUCGUCUGAGAUGCGGGUUGCCUUCAUAUCUGCAACAGAAAAUGGAUACCUUUGGGAUUAUAUUUGUAGAGCCACAUUAGAAUCUUGAUCUGUUAGUACAUUUUGUGGUUUUUCUUCACACAGCCAUUUUUUUCUUCACAAAGUUUAAGCUUAUUUUUCAAAGACUUAACUUCCCGAGCAAUAAAAAUUGAAGAUAUGUGUAGACUCAGUGACAGCAUUCCAAUAACUUUAUGUCAACUUGAGCGUAUCUUUCCUCCUAGUUUCUUUGACUCAAUGGAGCACCUACCAGUACACUUAGCGGAUGAAGCUCGCCUUGCAGGUCCAGUUCAAUAUCGGUGGAUGUACCCAUUUGAAAGGUACAAAUGAAGCUUAGUCAAUCACACCAAUUUAUAUAUAUUCGUAUAUAUUAAUAAAACUUAUUCAUUCACACCAAUUUUAUUUGUAGAUACUUACGAAAGUUGAAAAACAACGUAAGAAACAAAGCUAGAGUUGAAGGAUCUAUCUGUAAUGCGUACUUAGUGGAAGAAGCAUCCACGUUUUGUUCUUAUUAUUUCGAGGACCAUGUAAGUACGAGAGUGAGGAACAUGCCUCGUAAUUAUGAUGGUCGAGCUGAUGUUAGGGACGAUGACCAUCCAGACAUGAUUUCAAUAUUCAAACAAGUUGGACGUCCAUUCGGAAAGAUGUCAAAGAGGUUUUUGAAUGCUAGAGAGUGUAAAGCUGCACAUACAUAUAUACUGCUCAAUUGUGUUGAGGUUACAGAAAGAUAUUUCAAGUAAGUAUCCAUACAUUAAGUAGAAAUCUUCCGGUUACUACACAACUAGUUAUAAUCUAACUUGUAAUUGUUUUUUGGUUCAAGAUUGUUUGAGGAUCAAAUACGUGAAUCAGCUCCAUUCAUUUCAGAAACUGAUUUUGGGACUAAGAUGGAGAAGGAAUUUGCAGAUUGGUUCGCAAAAUAUGUGAGAUACAAUUUAAUUUAACGUGUUUACAAGUACACAUUAUAAAGAAACUCAUAUAGCAUCAAUGUCUGUCUUAUUAUGAUAGGUCCAACAUCCUUCUAGCAAUGUCACAAAUAAAUACAUUAGGGAUCUUGCAAAGGGGCCACUGACAGAAAUUAAGACAUAUCCCGGAUAUUAUGUCAAUGGAUACAAAUUUCACACACUAGCGCAUGGAACACAAAGAGCCAGCAUGAACAGUGGUGUUUGCAUAAAGGGUGAGACGUAUGACCAAACCGAGCUUGAUUUUUAUGGGCGUUUGUUGGAGGUUUGCGAGUUGGAAUAUCCAGGUCUACCAAUAAAAAAAACGACAUUAUUCAAGUGUGAGUGGUUUGAUCCAUCACAUGCUGGGACAUUGGUGCAUCCUAAUUUCAAAUUGGUUUCUAUAAACCACUUGCGUAGGUACAACAAAUAUGAACCAUUUGUUCUAGCAAGCCAGGCCCUUCAAGUAUAUUAUUGCUCGUAUCCUAGUUUGAAACAAUCUAGGAAGGAUUGGUGGGAAGUUUGUACGAUCAAAGCUAGAUCUAAGGUAGAAGUCCCAUAUGGAGCAUCUACUUCAACAUUGGAUCCACCGUUUCAAGAGGAUGAAUUGGUACUUUCUAUAAACACUGCCGUAGAUGAUGACAUGACACCAAUUCAUCCACUUGGUGGUAUGAUAGAAAUCGAUGAGGCCAAAGAUGAUACUGAUGAAGAUAUAAUCUUGUCGGAUAAGGAAAAUGAUGACGAUCAUGAUAAUUGGUGAUUCUUUCAUAUCAUUUUUAUUAAUUGGUGAUACUUUCAAUAUUAAUUGGUGAUACUUUCAUAUCAUUUUUAUUAAUUGUCUUAUUGUUUUGCAUUCAGAUAUGACCAUGAGAGGACGUUGCAUUAGGCGUGGCAGUACGGGUGCUGCGCGUGGUGGUGGUAGCAGUAGUACUAGUGUUGCACGUGGUGGGGCUAGUAGCGCAUCCUCAGCACACCCAGCAUCAUCAGAUGUCCAUGUGGAGGACUCCGUCGAGGAUGUAGAAUUUUCCAACUCUCAUACGUCAGAUAUAGUGGUUGAUGGGAAGAUCUCGAUGCCAAUAUCACGUACUGGGUAUGUUGUAUUUAUAAUUCGUUGUUGAAUAUUCUUUAAGCAGUUUUGAUAUUUUUAGACGAAGAUAACCAAAAUCAUGGAAAAUGGUGUUGAGCAGUUGUUGAUGCUAUGCUUUUCUCAUUAUAUAUCCACACAUACUUUGUUGUUCUGCUAUGCUUCUUGUGAUAACAUAGUUUUUUUCAUUGUUGUUUAAUUUGGUUUUGUGCUUUGCCUUUGUAUGUAAAGGCAAGAAUAGUUUACCAAUAUAUCUCAUGAAUUAAUUAAAUUGUUUAUUUUUGUAGGGUGGUAGGAUCACACAAGAAGAUGUCUAGUGUGAUUACCACAUCUUUCAAGAAAGUGAAGAACCCAACUGGCUUUAAUUGGAAAUUGACUCCCAACAGCAUCAAAAAAUUGUACUUUGAUGAAUUCAAAGUAAGUGUUAUAUAUUGAUUUAUGUUAUUUUACAUUUAUCUUUAAUAAAUAUUAAUGAGUAAUUUUUCUAUAGAAAGUGUACACAUGGCCUGAAAAGUUUGAGAAUCAAGUCUACAAAAAAUGGUCUCAAAGGGCAGCCAUGAGGUAUAGCGACUUCGUGCACAACAUGAAGUUAAAGAGGGAUGAUGCAGUUGAGGGAGGAGGUAUGCAUGGAUACAUUGACGAGGAUGCAUGGAAGGACCUUUGUGAAUAUUGGGAUACCAAAAGUGUCAAAGCAAAGUCGGAAAAGGCAAGACAAUGCAGGUUAUCUGAACCUGAUGGACCGGGCACCGGGAUUGUCAAACAUAAGGGUGGGUCAAAAUCUGUUGAGGUUAUCGCUCAAGAGUUGGUGAGUACCUAAAGUUAAUAUCAUCAUCAUCAUGAUUAUUAUUAUUAUUAUUAUUAUUAUUAUUAUUAUUAUUAUUAUUAUUAUUAUUAUUAUUAUUAUUAUUAUUAUUAUUAUUAUUAUUAUUAUUAUUAUUAUUAUUAUUAUUAUUUAUCGUAUAUAAAUGUUUGUUUAUAUCUUCAUAAACAGGCUGCAACGAAGGGAGUCCCAGUGUCGAGUGUGAUAUAUGACUCUUUUCGAGCUUUACACGUGAAGAAGGAUGGGACUUACACCGAUAAGAAGUCUGAAAGAAUCGAUGUAAGUUAUUUAAAAUUCUUUAAUAUGAAAGAAGUUUUAUCUCAUUUUUAUGGAAUUAAUAGCAUUACAAACUUGUUUAAUCUCACCAUUCAUUAUCUUAAAUUAUAAGACUUCAAUCAUUAGUAGAUAGGAUGCAAAUCUUUUACAUCAAUAGAUGGAGCUAUUCAUCUUUCUUGGAGCUUAUUUAUUAUCAAACAUAGCCUUUCGUGUAAAUGGCUUGGUAGCCUUGAUUUGAUAGAGUAGAGUGAUUACCUGUCGAAUCCACCGAUAGACAUAAGUAGAGAUCUUGAAUCCCUUGGAAGAAUCAAAUUUAGUGAAUUAGCAAUACUUUAAUCAUUUGAGUGUAGCUUAUGAAAUUUGUUGGUUGUAGAUUGGUUGAAACAAGUAUAUGUCUUUAAUAGUGUAUAUUUUAAUAUGUUUUAUAUAACAUUUUUUAUCAAUUAGGUGGAGGUACAAGAAAUUGCUGCAGAGAUGGGCCAACCUAAUCCUGAUACGCCCGUGGAUAUGAACAAGAUAUAUCUAGAUGUCUUGGGAGCGGUUUAGAUGAAAAGCAAAGAUUGUUUGGCACAGGUAGUCUCGCAUCGACCUUGAAGACCAAUAUAUCGGG